GAUGAACGCUGGCGGCGUGCCUAACACAUGCAAGUCGAGCGAUUUACUUCGGUAAAGAGCGGCGGACGGGUGAGUAACGCGUGGGUAACCUGCCCUGUACACACGGAUAACAUACCGAAAGGUAUGCUAAUACGAGAUAAUAUGCUUUUAUCGCAUGGUAGAAGCAUCAAAGCUUUUGCGGUACAGGAUGGACCCGCGUCUGAUUAGCUAGUUGGUAAGGUAACGGCUUACCAAGGCGACGAGCAGUAGCCGACCUGAGAGGGUGAUCGGCCACAUUGGAACUGAGACACGGUCCAAACUCCUACGGGAGGCAGCAGUGGGGAAUAUUGCACAAUGGGCGAAAGCCCGAUGCAGCAACGCCGCGUGAGCGAUGAAGGCCUUCGGGUCGUAAAGCUCUGUCCUCAAGGAAGAUAAUGACGGUACUUGAGGAGGAAGCCCCGGCUAACUACGUGCCAGCCGCCGCCGUAA
This 468-nucleotide ribosomal RNA is filed under the name uncultured bacterium. RNAcentral describes it as "partial 16S ribosomal RNA". It matches the Rfam family "Bacterial small subunit ribosomal RNA", at positions 28 to 523 of the family's 1533-position model. The record is from RNAcentral.